Molecule: long non-coding RNA, 626 nt
Filed under: Elaeis guineensis (African oil palm)
Lineage: Eukaryota; Viridiplantae; Streptophyta; Magnoliopsida; Arecales; Arecaceae
Description: long non-coding RNA (EGUI_LNC014560)
Source: RNAcentral
UUAUUUAUCUCAUAUGUACUCCAAUAAAUUCAUAUAAUUUCAUAAAUCAUUUUUAGGAUUGUAAUUCAUAAAUCAUAUUGUAAUAUCUCAUUAUUGGAUAUCUUUUGGUUGAGACGACUAUAUCCCUAUAUGGAAUUAAGUCUAUUAAUUAGAAAGAAUGUGGAUAAUUAAGAAAAAAAGCAUUGAUAGAUAGUCAAACUCAACGAUUUGGAUCGAUCCAAUCAUCUAAUUUUAUCCGUUCAAAAUCAUAUUAGGAUAUAGAUUGUUCAAUGGAGAUCGAGAGUGAUCAAAUCAAUAGUAUUUGAUAAGAGUCAAGAUAGAAGCCAAUAUGGUACUUGACGAUUAGAGAUUAGUUUAAUCAAAUAAUUUUAUUUAAUCAAGAUCAGAUUAAAAUAUAAUUGGUUCCAUAGAGAUCAACUAGAUUAAGUCUGAUGGUAUUCGGAUCAAGCCAAGAUUAGUGCAGGCAUGCUGUCCAACGAUUGUGGAUUAAGAUUCUUCACUAAGCUCAAUCAAAAUUGUCGAAAGAAAGUCCUUUAUUUGAUCAAUUUUAGAUUGAGAAAUAAUUCUAGAGAGCGAAAGUUGUAUAGAGGGUGAAAUUUUUUAGAGAAAAUAGAGAAAAACUGGAG